AAACCAACUGGGAUUACCUUAGUAACGGCGAGUGAAGCGGUAAAAGCUCAAAUUUGAAAUCUGGUACUUUCAGUGCCCGAGUUGUAAUUUGUAGAAUUUGUCUUUGAUUAGGUCCUUGUCUAUGUUCCUUGGAACAGGACGUCAUAGAGGGUGAUAAUCCCGUUUGGCGAGGAUACCUUUUCUCUGUAAGACUUUUUCGAAGAGUCGAGUUGUUUGGGAAUGCAGCUCAAAGUGGGUGGUAAAUUCCAUCUAAAGCUAAAUAUUGGCGAGAGACCGAUAGCGAACAAGUACAGUGAUGGAAAGAUGAAAAGAACUUUGAAAAGAGAGUGAAAAAGUACGUGAAAUUGUUGAAAGGGAAGGGCAUUUGAUCAGACAUGGUGUUUUUGCAUGCACUCGCCUCUCGUGGGCUUGGGCCUCUCAAAAAUUUCACUGGGCCAACAUCAAUUUUGGCGGCAGGAAAAAUCUUUUGGAAUGUAGCUACCUCGGUAGUGUUAUAGCCUUUUGAAAUACUGUCAGCUGGGAUUGA
Molecule: ribosomal RNA, 526 nt
Filed under: uncultured Hanseniaspora
Lineage: Eukaryota; Fungi; Ascomycota; Saccharomycetes; Saccharomycodales; Saccharomycodaceae
Description: eukaryotic LSU rRNA
Rfam family: Eukaryotic large subunit ribosomal RNA
Source: RNAcentral